This 301-nucleotide ribosomal RNA is filed under the name uncultured bacterium. RNAcentral describes it as "partial 16S ribosomal RNA". It matches the Rfam family "Bacterial small subunit ribosomal RNA", at positions 509 to 807 of the family's 1533-position model. The record is from RNAcentral.
CAGUAGCCACGGUAAUACGGAGGGUGCAAGCGUUAAUCGGAAUUACUGGGCGUAAAGCGCACGCAGGCGGUUUGUUAAGUCAGAUGUGAAAUCCCCGAGCUUAACUUGGGAACUGCAUUUGAAACUGGCAAGCUAGAGUCUUGUAGAGGGGGGUAGAAUUCCAGGUGUAGCGGUGAAAUGCGUAGAGAUCUGGAGGAAUACCGGUGGCGAAGGCGGCCCCCUGGACAAAGACUGACGCUCAGGUGCGAAAGCGUGGGGAGCAAACAGGAUUAGAUACCCCUGUAGUCCCUGUCUCUUAUAC